Molecule: long non-coding RNA, 550 nt
Filed under: Mus musculus (house mouse)
Lineage: Eukaryota; Metazoa; Chordata; Mammalia; Rodentia; Muridae
Description: long non-coding RNA chr3:57528231-57528781
Source: RNAcentral
UAAUGCUAAUGCUGAAAAGCAAGUUGGAGCGGCAUGAUGGUCUCAAAGGAUCCCGGACAUCAGCCUCCACAUCUGACUCUACUCGGAGGGUUUCUGUGAGAGACAAGUUGCCUGUUAAAGAGGUGGCAGGACUUGACGCUAAUUUACCUUGCACAUGUAAAGUACACUUUCCUGACCCAAACAAGCUCCAUUGCUUUCUGCUGACUAUAAGCCCAGGUGAGGGUUACUACAGGGGUGGAAAAUUUCAGUUUGAAACUGAAGGCCCCAUUGCCUACAACAUGGUGCCUCCCAAGGUGAAAUGCUUGGCUGAAAUCUGGCACCCCAACAUCACAGAAACAGGGGAAAUAUGUCUAAGUUUACUAAGAGGAUAUUCAAUUGAUGGCACUGGCUGGGGUCCCACUAGAAUGUUAAAGGAUGUUGUUUGAGGAUUGAACUAUUUACUGAUCUCUUGAAUUUUGAUGAUCCACUGAUUAUUGAAGCUGCAGAACACCAUUUGCGGGACAAGGAGGAUUUGGAGGACAAAGUGGCUGAAUACAUCAAAUGCCAUACC